This 416-nucleotide ribosomal RNA is filed under the name Limosilactobacillus frumenti. RNAcentral describes it as "bacterial SSU rRNA". It matches the Rfam family "Bacterial small subunit ribosomal RNA", at positions 376 to 786 of the family's 1533-position model. The record is from RNAcentral. Lineage: Bacteria; Bacillati; Bacillota; Bacilli; Lactobacillales; Lactobacillaceae.
CGCAGCCUGAUGGAGCACACCGCGUGAGUGAAGAAGGGUUUCGGCUCGUAAAGCUCUGUUGUUGAAGAAGAACGUGCGUGAGAGUAACUGUUCACGCAGUGACGGUAUUCAACCAGAAAGUCACGGCUAACUACGUGCCAGCAGCCGCGGUAAUACGUAGGUGGCAAGCGUUAUCCGGAUUUAUUGGGCGUAAAGCGAGCGCAGGCGGUUGCUUAGGUCUGAUGUGAAAGCCUUCGGCUUAACCGAAGAAGUGCAUCGGAAACCGGGCGACUUGAGUGCAGAAGAGGACAGUGGAACUCCAUGUGUAGCGGUGGAAUGCGUAGAUAUAUGGAAGAACACCAGUGGCGAAGGCGGCUGUCUGGUCUGCAACUGACGCUGAGGCUCGAAAGCAUGGGUAGCGAACAGGAUUAGAUACC